UACAGAGGGUGCAAGCGUUGUUCGGAAUUAUUGGGCGUAAAGGGAGUGUAGGCGGUUUGUAAAGUCUCAUGUGAAAUCUACGAGCUUAGCUUGUAGCGUGCAUGAGAAACUCACAGACUUGAGUGUCGGAGAGGAUAGUGGAAUUCCCGGUGUAGAGGUGAAAUUCGUAGAGAUCGGGAGGAACACCAGUGGCGAAGGCGACUAUCUGGCUGACAACUGACGCUGAGACUCGAAAGCAUGGGUAGCAAACAGG
This 253-nucleotide ribosomal RNA is filed under the name uncultured bacterium. RNAcentral's name for it is "partial 16S ribosomal RNA". It matches the Rfam family "Bacterial small subunit ribosomal RNA", at positions 524 to 776 of the family's 1533-position model. The record is from RNAcentral.